Meleagris gallopavo (turkey) is the source of this 712-nucleotide non-coding RNA. The record is from RefSeq and is a predicted model, not a curated record. Lineage: Eukaryota; Metazoa; Chordata; Aves; Galliformes; Phasianidae.
AUGAGUUGGGUUUUUUUGACUAGCGUAGCACAGUCUACCUUUCUUUCCAAAUUCAUUAUGAUGCCUAUGCAUCAGUGUUGGAAUCAUUUAUUCUUCGGCAGUUCCUCCUGUCGGUGAGAAAGCCAGGCUGAUCUUAAGGAAUUUCCUCUGAAGUAACUUCUUUUCCUCUCUUCUCCCCAAUACUGUCUUUUUCCUUAACAGUUUGCCUAGUCAAAAAAAUUUCCUGAAGUCCAGAUUCCUAACAUUGCAAAGAAGCUUGAAGAUUUUAAGAAAGACGUGGAAGCUAAGAAGAAACCUCCCAGUGACAAGUCCUAACGGAGCAGUAUUACCUAGAUCACUUCUGUGCAUGCAUCAAGGAUGGAAUUUACCCUUCUUUUGACAAAGAUCAAGUAGAGAUUUGGCAUGGGAGGUUCCUCCACUUUUAGUCUCCUAGAGCCAGAAUGUCCUUGUUUUGAAAAAGCAACCAUGAACUUUUCCUGGGACUGAUUUUCAAGGGUUUCAGAAUUCUGGAUUUGCAACUGAUAAUGUGACUGGAUAAGAUCAUUUGUAUUUUUUGUUAUUGCUUUUCCUAGUAUUUUGUAACCCAUUUUUACCUGAUCCAACUGGAAAAUAGUGUUAGUCCUGUUAUUAUGUAUACCUCACUCUUUGUAAUACUCUAGAACCUAGAACAUCGAAAAAAGAAAUUAAAUGCAUCAAGAAGUAACUUUCAGGA